UGUCGUUUCUGUCUUCUUCAACAACAGAGCCAAACCCUAAUUUUUAAACGCCGCCGCCGCCGCCAAUGACGAGAAGAGGACGAUGACAGGAGAAGGAAGGUGACCGGAGAAGAACGAGGAUUGUCGAAGAACGGAGAGUGGACGUGGUGACCGGAGGAGCCGCCGGAGAAGAUGAACGAAAAGAGUUGCAGGUUGCAGGAGUGUCGGAAACGGAGAAGAUGACUAGAGACGUGGUGGUCACCGGAGAUGGAGUUGAAAGAAGACGGUGUUAACGACAGAGAUGAAUUACGACCGGAGAAGUUACAGGUGGAAUGAUGAGAGGUAAGUUGCAAGCUGUUGUUCGGUGUUGGGAGUCGAAAGGUGUUCGGUGGAUGACGGUGGAGGCGGAUGAUCACGCAUAGAACAAUGUUGAUUUCGGAUGAAAGAGAUGAAUGUUUACGGAUGAGUUGAAUGCCGAUUACGGAUGAAAGAAGUGGUGAAUACGAUCCGAGAUGACGAUUCCGGAUGAUUACAGAUGAUGUCGGAUUGUGAAGUUAAAGAUUACGGAUGAAGAAGCUAUGGAGUCGGAUUGAAUUUCAGAUGGAACGAUGAUUACGGAUUGAAAAGUUAUAUCGGAUGGUAUGCUGAUGAUGAUCUGAUGAUGACGACAGUGAUGUUUGACCAUGAAGUUUGAAGAUGAUGAUUGACCAAUGAUUGUUACGUAUGAGAUGAUGAUGUACGAUGAUUACAGAAAUGAUGAUGUUUGAUUAUUA
RNAcentral lists this long non-coding RNA (752 nucleotides) under Helianthus annuus (common sunflower). RNAcentral's name for it is "hypothetical non coding rna". Lineage: Eukaryota; Viridiplantae; Streptophyta; Magnoliopsida; Asterales; Asteraceae. The record is from RNAcentral.